This 231-nucleotide ribosomal RNA is filed under the name uncultured bacterium. RNAcentral's name for it is "partial 16S ribosomal RNA". It matches the Rfam family "Bacterial small subunit ribosomal RNA", at positions 524 to 753 of the family's 1533-position model. The record is from RNAcentral.
GACAGAGGUGGCGAGCGUUGUUCGGAUUCAUUGGGUGUAAAGGGCAGGUAGGUGGUCAUGUAAGUCCGGUGUGAAAUCCCAGGGCUCAACCCUGGAACUGCAUUGGAAACUACAUGACUUGAGUACCGGAGAGGUGAGGGGAAUUCUCGGUGUAAGGGUGAAAUCUGUAGAUAUCGAGAGGAACACCGAGUGGCGAAGGCGCCUCACUGGCCGGUUACUGACACUGAGCUG